GUAUGUAGUUGUGCAAGUUGGAAAAGCAGCCUACAGUGCCAGUAUGGAGUCUGCUGUGAGAUCUGGAUGGCCUUGCGUAACAGAGGCUUCGCUGUGUCCACCGAGUUCUCCUGGCAGUACAGCUCGGACAGCAGGCUGGCUGCCUCGAACUUCACGUCCUCAAACUGCGGGAUCUGCUGCGAGAUCAGCCACGCCUUCUCCAGGUGCCCCCGGGCCUGCUCCCCGUUGCGGGUGUGGUGGUAGAGCACGGAGCCGAGCUGGAGGUGCGUGCGGGCCUCCAUGCGGGCCGGGGGCUUGCGGGGCAGCACGGCCUGCAGGCAGUGCACGCACAGGCGGACCUUGGGCGGGCUGGAGGUGCGGAAGUGCUCGGCCAGGCCCAGCAGCGCCAGGUACCACGACUCCCCCCCGCCCCCGGCCGCACCGCCGCCCGACCCCGACCCCGGGCCGGGCCCAGCUCCCCCCGCGCCGCCUCCUCCUCCUCCGCCCGCGCCCCCUCCGCCGCCCCCCGCCUCCCCGGAGCCCGCGGCGCCGCCCGCUGCCGGCUGGGGCUGCUGCUGAGGGGG
RNAcentral lists this long non-coding RNA (563 nucleotides) under Gallus gallus (chicken). Lineage: Eukaryota; Metazoa; Chordata; Aves; Galliformes; Phasianidae. The record is from RNAcentral.